RNAcentral lists this ribosomal RNA (253 nucleotides) under uncultured bacterium. RNAcentral describes it as "partial 16S ribosomal RNA". It matches the Rfam family "Bacterial small subunit ribosomal RNA", at positions 524 to 776 of the family's 1533-position model. The record is from RNAcentral.
UACGUAGGGUGCAAGCGUUGUCCGGAAUUAUUGGGCGUAAAGAGCGUGUAGGCGGCCCGAUUAGUCCGCUGUGAAAGUUCAGGGCUCAACCCUGGAAUGCCGGUGGAUACUGUCGGGCUAGAGUCCGGAAGGGGCGAGUGGAAUUCCUGGUGUAGCGGUGAAAUGCGCAGAUAUCAGGAGGAACACCAAUAGCGAAGGCAGCUCGCUGGGACGGUACUGACGCUGAGGUGCGAAAGCGUGGGGAGCAAACAGG